This 250-nucleotide ribosomal RNA is filed under the name uncultured bacterium. RNAcentral's name for it is "partial 16S ribosomal RNA". It matches the Rfam family "Bacterial small subunit ribosomal RNA", at positions 355 to 622 of the family's 1533-position model. The record is from RNAcentral.
GGACGAAUCUUCCGCAAUGGGCGCAAGCCUGACGGAGCAAUACCGCGUGUGGGAUGAAGCGGCUACGCCGUGUAAACCACUGUCAGGGGACGGAAUCAAUGAUUGUCCCCAAAGGAAGAGACGGCUAACUCUGUGCCAGCAGCCGCGGUAAUACAGAGGUCUCGAGCGUUAAUCGGAAUUACUGGGCUUAAAGGGUGCGUAGGCGGCCCCGAAAGCGUCGUGUGAAAGCCCCUGGCUCAACCAGGGAACU